GUGAACUUGGGCAAGUGACCUAAUCCUCUGCAUUUCAUCUCUAAAUUGGGGAGAAUAGAAGCAUCUACUUCAUGUAGUAGCCAGGAUUAGAAGAGUGAUGAAGCUAUACUUGUUUCAUUUUCCAGAUGGGGCCACUUGAGGGAAAAGACCUACCCAAGGGCACAUAAUCUGUACAUGAGAGAGAGCCAGAUGUAACAGACUGAGUACUGGACUUGGGGUUAAACAGACUGUGAAUCUUUCCACCCCAUUGGGAGGAAUAACUGGGCCCUGGAUAGAAUGUGAUGAAUGUAUAUUCUUAAUGAGAAGUGGAAAUAAUUUGUGGUUGAGAGCUGUGCCUCAGAUCAGAGUGACAGGAUACAUGGCUAGGCUAUAUUUUCCAGCAGAUUAAGAGCUGCGGCCCAAGACUCUGAAAUAUGAAGAAAAAAGGAGAAGAUGACAGCAUAUCUUUUUAAAGAAAUAUUUUCCAGCCAAAUGGUGUAGCAGAGGACUUCCAGGAAUUUGUUCUUGUUCUGUAUCAAAGGUGAAGAGUUCGUAGCCUUCAAGGAAACAAGAAACCAUGGGAUGGAGUGAAGGAAGGUGGCCUGGAACCAGCUGCUGAGCCUCUCUGAGCCCCAGUUUCCUCGUCUCUAAAAUGGGGCUGAUCUCCUCUCCCUCAGACUGUUGUUGCAGGAAUUAAAACAGGUGUUGAGUGGGAAAGCAUCAGUCCCAUAGCAAAUGGCCCCUGAGUAGUAGGAUCUGAGUUCUGGUUCUGGUCCUGCUGGGGUAUGGCUGGUUGAGAGGUCAAAGAGGUAAUUAAAGGGAUUGCCAGCU
RNAcentral lists this long non-coding RNA (810 nucleotides) under Homo sapiens (human). RNAcentral's name for it is "non-protein coding lnc-DMRTA2-1:3". Lineage: Eukaryota; Metazoa; Chordata; Mammalia; Primates; Hominidae. The record is from RNAcentral.